Molecule: non-coding RNA, 45 nt
Organism: Schistosoma rodhaini
Lineage: Eukaryota; Metazoa; Platyhelminthes; Trematoda; Strigeidida; Schistosomatidae
Source: Rfam
AUCCAGCUGAGGAGUCCCAAAUAGGACGAAACGUGCAUCCUGGCU